UCCCCGUUGGCCGGGGCAGUCUCGCGUGAAAAAUUCAACACACGACAAGGGUUGCGCUCGUUGCGGGACUUAACCCAACAUCUCACGACACGAGCUGAAGACGGCCAUGCAGCACCUGUCACCUGAUUCCCGAAGGCACAGCGCUGUUUCCAGCGCCUUCCAGGGAUGUCAAGCCUCGGUAAGGUUCUUCGCGUAGCGUCGAAUUAAACCCCAUGCUCCACCGCUUGUGCGGGUCCCCGUCAAUUCCUUUGAGUUUUAAGCUUGCGCUCGUACUCCCCAGGCGGCAUGCUUAUCGCGUUAGCUUCUCAGCCCAAGGGGUCGAUACCUCAAACUAAUAGCAUGCAUCGUUUACGGCGUGGACUAC
This 364-nucleotide unclassified non-coding RNA is filed under the name uncultured bacterium. RNAcentral describes it as "contains 16S-23S intergenic spacer region". The record is from RNAcentral.